RNAcentral lists this ribosomal RNA (439 nucleotides) under uncultured bacterium. Its description in RNAcentral is "bacterial SSU rRNA". It matches the Rfam family "Bacterial small subunit ribosomal RNA", at positions 954 to 1392 of the family's 1533-position model. The record is from RNAcentral.
AUGGGAACGCGAAGAACCUUACCUACUCUUGACAUCCAGAGAACUUAGCAGAGAUGCUUUGGUGCCUUCGGGAACUCUGAGACAGGUGCUGCAUGGCUGUCGUCAGCUCGUGUUGUGAAAUGUUGGGUUAAGUCCCGCAACGAGCGCAACCCUUAUCCUUUGUUGCCAGCGGUUAGGCCGGGAACUCAAAGGAGACUGCCAGUGAUAAACUGGAGGAAGGUGGGGAUGACGUCAAGUCAUCAUGGCCCUUACGAGUAGGGCUACACACGUGCUACAAUGGCGCAUACAAAGAGAAGCGGCCUCGCGAGAGCAAGCGGACCUCAUAAAGUGCGUCGUAGUCCGGAUUGGAGUCUGCAACUCGACUCCAUGAAGUCGGAAUCGCUAGUAAUCGUAGAUCAGAAUGCUACGGUGAAUACGUUCCCGGGUCUUGUACACACCG